Non-coding RNA from Paramuricea clavata, 356 nucleotides. The record is from the annotation of a GenBank genome assembly. NCBI's taxonomy places the organism in Eukaryota, Metazoa, Cnidaria, Anthozoa, Malacalcyonacea, Plexauridae.
UUCACUUUAAUACAAAAACUAUCACGAUAUACUGUACAUGUAAGGUCCGUUUCAUGUGAAAAUGAAUUUCCUUAUUUCCUUGUUCUAUUCUUCCAACUUUCAAACGUAUUCUUUGGCCCAUAUUUCGUCAGUGUACACAUUUUCAUGCUCGACGAAGCUAGAUGCCAUCUACGAAGGAGCACUUUCAAAUUUGAUUUUGAAGUGGUUUUGUACGUUUCACCUUCAAUUUUAUAUCCAGCGCAAUCGUAGGAACUUUUUUCAGUACCAGAGGGCGAUUUUGAGCUUAAUAAACCGACGUUUCUUGCAAAAAUUCUCACUUUAGUAAGUUACAGCGUCAAAAUAUAAUACAAUUCUAU